GCUCGACGCGUCUCGCGACCAUGAUAGAGGAGAAGAUUCUUAGGGAAGGAGAGUUCACCCUUAGAACCGAUCCGUGAGCUGGGUUAAUAGCGUCCACCGGCAGUU
RNAcentral lists this ribosomal RNA (105 nucleotides) under Foraminifera environmental sample. RNAcentral describes it as "partial Bacterial large subunit ribosomal RNA". The record is from RNAcentral. Lineage: Eukaryota; Foraminifera.